UUCNGGUUGUACCCGCCGGAGACCACUGCUUUCAGAGUUCGAUUAAGCCAUGCAAGGUAUUGUCGCAAGACAAACCGCACUGCUCAGUAACACGUGGUUAACCUGCCCUCAGGUCAGGGAUAACUCCGGGAAACUGGAGAUAAUACCUGAUAGAGGAUAAAUACUGGAAGGUUUUAUUCUUCAAAGCUUCGGCACCUGAGGAUGGGACUGCGUCGGAUUAGCUUGUUGUCGGGAUAAUUACCCGACAAGGCGAUAAUCCGUACGGGUUGUGAGAGCAAUAGCCCGGAGAUGGAUUCUGAGACAUGAAUCCAGGUCCUACGGGACGCAGCAGGCGCGAAACCUUCACAAUGCCUGAAAGGGUGAUGAGGGAACUCUGAGUGACUUCGCAAUGCGAAGUCUUUUGCCAAGUGCAAAAAGCUCGGUGAAUAAGUGGUGGGCAAGACAGUUGCCAGCCGCCGCGGUAAUAACUGCGCCACGAGUGGUGAUCUCGUUUAUUGGGCUUAAAGCGUUCGUAGCCGGUUUUAUAAGCAUCUGGUGAAAUCCGAUAGUAAACUAUUGGGCUGGCUAGGUGUACUGUAAGACUAGGGACCGGUAGGGGCCGGGAGUACUCCUAGGGUAGGGGUUAAAUCCUUUAAUCCUAGGGGGACUACCAGUGGCGAAGGCGCCCGGCUAGAACGGGUCCGACGGUGAGGGACGAAAGCUGGGGGAGCGAUCCGGAUUAGAUACCCGGGUAGUCCCAGCUGUAAACGAUGCCCGCUUGGUGUGGUGAAACUUUCGUGGUUUUGCCGUACCGUAGCGAAAGUGUUAAGCGGGCCGCCUGGGAAGUACGACCGCAAGGUUGAAACUUAAGGGAAUUGGCGGGGGAGCACACAAGAGGUGGAGGCUGCGGUUUAAUUGGAUUCAACGCCAGAAAUCUCACCAGAGAAGACAGCAGAAUGAUGGUCAGCCCGAAGGGCUUACCUGACACGCUGAGAGGUGCUGCAUGGCCGUCGUCAGCUCGUGCCGUGAGGUGUCCUGUUAAGUCAGGAAACGAGCGAGAUCCGUGCCUUUAGUUGCCACUUUUCUCUCCGGAGAGAAGGCACUCUAAAGGGACUGCUUCUGCUAAAGAAGAGGAAGGAGCGGGCUACGGCAGGUCUGUAUGGCCCGAAUUCUCUUGGGCUACACGCGGCCUACAAUGCUUGAGACAAUGAGAUGCAACACCGAGAGGUGAAGCAAAUCCCCUAAACUCAAGCUUAGUUCGGAUCGAGGGCUGAAACUCGCCCUCGUGAAGCUGGAAUCUCUAGUAAGCGAAGGUCAUUAUCUUUCGCUGAAUACGUCCCUGCUCCUUGCACACACCGCCCGUC
This 1343-nucleotide ribosomal RNA is filed under the name uncultured archaeon. RNAcentral describes it as "bacterial SSU rRNA". It matches the Rfam family "Archaeal small subunit ribosomal RNA". The record is from RNAcentral.